GCUGAGGCUAGACUGGAGUGCUCAUCCUACUCUGUAACCUUAAACGGAUGUUGAAGGAGUCGAAGCUUAAGAAGCGGUAUAUUGGCUAAGUAAUGGUCUUGGCUCGUACGUUGAAGUCCUGUCCUGUUUGACUGGCGCUUUUGAGAACCACGUCAGGUUGGGAACAAAGCAGCGUUAAUCAUUAAUGCUGGUGCUUUCAGGGUAGCGGGAUGGAGGAAAAGUCAAGGUAGCUGUUAUUUGAUCAGUGUAUCCAUUCUUUUGCGUGCCUCACU
Molecule: signal recognition particle RNA, 272 nt
Filed under: archaeon
Lineage: Archaea
Description: signal recognition particle sRNA
Rfam family: Archaeal signal recognition particle RNA
Source: RNAcentral